This 377-nucleotide long non-coding RNA is filed under the name Gossypium barbadense (sea-island cotton). RNAcentral's name for it is "long non-coding RNA (GBAR_LNC021713)". The record is from RNAcentral. Lineage: Eukaryota; Viridiplantae; Streptophyta; Magnoliopsida; Malvales; Malvaceae.
CAUAGUGGGGCUAGAAUGAGAAUUACCCAAAGAUUACUCCUUAUUAUUGGUUUGGGUCUUCGAGAAAGGUGGGAAAUUCUUUGGGUUAAUGUAACCCAUAUUAACUAAAAGAAGAAUUGGAGAAAAGACAAAGGGGCCCACACUUGCCUUCUUUUGAAAACCAUUAACUUCAACAGACCAGGGGGCCCUUAUGAGUAGUCCACUAAGCCCUUGAAUGCGGAGCCCAACAGAAUGCGUAGCUGCUGCCUUUGAAGAAAUAGUGUCCUUCUUGAAAGAGACAUUAGCGUUUAGGUUUACUAGGCCCAAAACUCCAUCAGUUUUAUCCUCUCCAGGCCACAGUCCAUAACAUCAUCUCCAGCAGGUAGCGCUGAAGCAUG